This 30-nucleotide non-coding RNA is filed under the name Mus musculus (house mouse). The record is from RNAcentral. Lineage: Eukaryota; Metazoa; Chordata; Mammalia; Rodentia; Muridae.
UCCAUUUCCCAUCAGUAACUAAGACUAUGU